Molecule: non-coding RNA, 23 nt
Filed under: Arabidopsis thaliana (thale cress)
Lineage: Eukaryota; Viridiplantae; Streptophyta; Magnoliopsida; Brassicales; Brassicaceae
Source: RNAcentral
UACUCCACGCCACCGUUGAUGCC